AGAGUUUGAUCCUGGCUCAGGAUGAACGCUAGCGGCAGGCUUAACACAUGCAAGUCGAGGGGCAGCGCGGGAUAGCAAUAUUCUGGCGGCGACCGGCGGAAGGGUGCGUAACGCGUGAGCGACAUGCCCGUUGCCCGGGGACAACCGGUGGAAACGCCGACUAAUCCCCGAUGGGAUACGAUGCUUCAUGGCAUUGUAUUGAAAGUUACGGCGGCGACGGAUUGGCUCGCGUCCGAUUAGCUUGUUGGCGGGGUAACGGCCCACCAAGGCUACGAUCGGUAGGGGUUCUGAGAGGAAGGCCCCCCACAAUGGGACUGAGACACGGCCCAUACUCCUACGGGAGGCAGCAGUGAGGAAUAUUGGUCAAUGGGCGGAAGCCUGAACCAGCCAUGCCGCGUGCGGGAAGGAGGCCCUAUGGGCUGUGAACCGCUUUUGCCUGGGGGCAAUAAGGGCGUCGCGCACGUCCGAUGAGAGUACCAGGCGAAUAAGCAUCGGCUAACUCCGUGCCAGCAGCCGCGGUAAUACGGGGGAUGCGAGCGUUAUCCGGAUUCAUUGGGUUUAAAGGGUGCGUAGGCUGUGCGUCAAGUCGGGGGUGAAAUUCCGGUGCUCAACACCGGGGCUGCCCUUGAUACUGUCGCGCUGGAGUGCGGAUGCCGCCGGAGGAAUGAGUGGUGUAGCGGUGAAAUGCUUAGAUAUCACUCAGAACACCGAUUGCGAAGGCAUCUGGCGAAUCCGUAACUGACGCUGAGGCACGAAAGCGUGGGGAUAGAACAGGAUUAGAUACCCUGGUAUUCCACGCCGUAAACG
RNAcentral lists this ribosomal RNA (807 nucleotides) under uncultured bacterium. Its description in RNAcentral is "bacterial SSU rRNA". It matches the Rfam family "Bacterial small subunit ribosomal RNA", at positions 8 to 808 of the family's 1533-position model. The record is from RNAcentral.